AUUAAAGUGGCAGAGAAAUGCGAGGAAUUUAAGCUUCCUUUAGGAAAACUUUUCCUUUAAUA
RNAcentral lists this transfer RNA (62 nucleotides) under Otobius megnini. RNAcentral's name for it is "tRNA-Leu". The record is from RNAcentral. Lineage: Eukaryota; Metazoa; Arthropoda; Arachnida; Ixodida; Argasidae.